This 221-nucleotide long non-coding RNA is filed under the name Neogobius melanostomus (round goby). RNAcentral describes it as "lncRNA (ENSNMLG00000021095.1)". Lineage: Eukaryota; Metazoa; Chordata; Actinopteri; Gobiiformes; Gobiidae. The record is from RNAcentral.
CAUGCCCGCAAGCGCCCAGGAGCCUCCACCCGAGGCACAGCGGGCCAUACAGGCGUGUCUGGGCCAGCUGGAGGAGGAGUUUGUGUUCAACCCCCUGCUCCUCAACAGUAACCUGUACGCUCACCUGAGGAGCCGCGGCCUGACGUCCCAGCCCAGAUACCCGUACAAGGCAGCUCAGAAGAACCAGGCACAACCACUGGAGGGCAGCAAGAGCACAGGCA